UGGAAAUCAAGAAAAGAAGAUCAUCAAGGUUACCUAGAAAAGUUCUAAAAUCUUCAGAUCAAAAAUGAGUGGGAAGACUGGAUUAUUUACCUACCAAAGAGAUGGCAGAACACAUUUGUAUGAAAUGAAAACACAAGGUGAUAGACUCAAAGCAAGCAAGAUCUUCUUCAACAAUGAGCAGCCUCUGGGCAUAGAACUUCACAUCUCUAUUCUGUUUUCAAAACUGUAAUUUCAAGGAGUUGGACAUUGUCAUCUGUCUUAUGUUGCAAUACAGGAUGUGACCAAAAGUAUGUAUUCUAUCACCAUUUGUCGAAACCAGAUGGGGCAGUCAUCCUUAUCUCUGUGGGAGAUACCCUCUGUUAAUGGGCCAUCUGUUAAAACCAGGUGGAGAAGUCAUCUUUAUCUUUUCCACAACCCAUCCUUCCUCCAGGAAAUAUUGUUUGUUAAUGGCCCAUUGAUUCUCACCCCAUGACUGAUAAAAUUACAUCAUCCCAUUGGCAGAUGUUCCACACAGGGGGAGGAGCCAAGCCUUUCCUACCCAGAUAAAAACUGAGAUUUGGAACACCAAAGCGGCUGCUUUUUCCACUGGAUUCCAAGGAAAAACUGGACCUUUCCACAUCUUCCCUUGACCUUUAGAGGAAAACUGCACCUUCUGCAGGAGCACUGCUUCAACUGAACCACAUCUACCACUGCAGGACUGUAGCCACCAUUUAAUGGGACUGCUACCAACACUCUGACUGACAGGGUGUCAGGUUGUAUUCUGACUCUGUCAGUGUUUUGGGUUUGCUCUUUGUAAUACUGUAUUUCUAUUUUAAUUUUCCUAGUAAAGAACUGUUAUUCUUACUUCC
Molecule: long non-coding RNA, 848 nt
Organism: Oenanthe melanoleuca
Lineage: Eukaryota; Metazoa; Chordata; Aves; Passeriformes; Muscicapidae
Exons: 3
Source: RefSeq, a predicted model, not a curated record